Molecule: ribosomal RNA, 668 nt
Filed under: Globigerinoides sacculifer
Lineage: Eukaryota; Foraminifera; Rotaliida; Globigerinidae
Description: partial 18S ribosomal RNA
Rfam family: Eukaryotic small subunit ribosomal RNA
Source: RNAcentral
CAAUCGCAUUUCCAAACAACUAACAACUCAGAAUGCUGGGCAAUAGGACGUUUAAAGUGGCUCCUUACACCUUACAAAGGAAUGGCUGAUGAGAAACAACUCGAUCCGCUCAGCGUUCUAUUGGAAUGCAACGGACGUGAUUGCAAGCUUUUGUUUUGAGUUGCGGUUUUACUGAAAGACUCUACAAUCCGCAAACUUCAAUGAUCUGAAGUAGAAAACCUACAUGCUACAGUGAGAUAUUGUGGAUAAACUUAAGCGACCGCUCCAACAUUGUGUUUUUUUAAAACUGAUGAAGGUUGCGGCAAUAACAGGUCUGUGAUGCCCUUCGAUGUCCUGGGCUGCACACGUGCUACAAUGGCUAGCGCAGUGAGCAUAUUUCAACCGAAACAUCGGUUGGCUGUUCUGAUUGACCCCUUCUGGGUCUCUCUGUAACACUACCGAUGAUCCCUCCUCUGAAAAGAGAGGGUAAGCCGUUCGAAAUUCUGGUAACGAUUCCCCGUAGUUAAGCAAACUUAAACCAUAGUGGUGUCAAACGGGUCCGCUUCCAUCGGAAAAGAUUCCUCCGGAAAAAGGCUUAUGCAGGCAUUUCACGUAUGCUCCUAUAAAUUCCUGGUAGGGAUAGUCUAUUGUAACUGGUAGACUUGUCAACUAGGAAUGCCUUGUACGGG